Molecule: unclassified non-coding RNA, 315 nt
Filed under: uncultured fungus
Lineage: Eukaryota; Fungi
Description: sequence contains ITS2
Rfam family: 5.8S ribosomal RNA (bases 1-52)
Source: RNAcentral
AACGCACCUUGCACCCUUUGGUAUUCCGAAGGGUAUGCCUGUUUGAGUGUCAUUAAAUUCUCAAUCCUUUGAAGCUUUUUGUUUCGGAGGUAUUGGAUGUGGAGGUUUAUUGCUGGCUUUAUUCGUAGAGUUGGCUCCUCUUAAAUGCAUUAGUGGCUUCUUUGAAGGAUCCCCAUACAAUGGUGUGAUAGUAUUAUCUACAUCAUACAAUGGCUAGGUCAUGUAAAAGAUAAAGAAGUUGCUCUCUAACCGUCCUUCAUUGGACAACCUGAACCAUUUGACCUCAAAUCAGGUAGGACUACCCGCUGAACUUAA